RNAcentral lists this ribosomal RNA (610 nucleotides) under uncultured rumen bacterium. RNAcentral describes it as "bacterial SSU rRNA". It matches the Rfam family "Bacterial small subunit ribosomal RNA", at positions 44 to 642 of the family's 1533-position model. The record is from RNAcentral.
AGGCUUAACACAUGCAAGUCGAGGGGCAGCGAGAAGAAAGCUUGCUUUCUUUGUCGGCGACCGGCGCACGGGUGAGUAACGCGUAUCCAACCUUCCCUAUACUAAGGAAUAGCCCGGCGAAAGUCGGAUUAAUGCCUUAUGUUCUCCUUUGAUGGCAUCAGACGAGGAGCAAAGAUUGAUCGGUAUAGGAUGGGGAUGCGUCUGAUUAGGUUGUUGGCGGGGUAACGGCCCACCCAAGCCAUCGAUCAGUAGGGGUUCUGAGAGGAAGGUCCCCCACAUUGGUACUGAGACACGGACCAAACUCCUACGGGAGGCAGCAGUGAGGAAUAUUGGUCAAUGGACGAGAGUCUGAACCAGCCAAGUAGCGUGCAGGACGACUGCCCUAUGGGUUGUAAACUGCUUUUAUAGGGGAAUAAAGUGGAGUACGUGUACUUUUUUGUAUGUACCCUAUGAAUAAGGACCGGCUAAUUCCGUGCCAGCAGCCGCGGUAAUACGGAAGGUCCGGGCGUUAUCCGGAUUUAUUGGGUUUAAAGGGAGCGCAGGCGGGACUUUAAGCGUGUUGUGAAAUGUGGCGGCUCAACCGCCGAACUGCAGCGCGAACUGGGGUUCU